GAUGAAGAACGCAGCGAGAUGCGAUACUUGGUGUGAAUUGCAGAAUCCCGUGAACCAUCGAGUCUUUGAACGCAAGUUGCGCCUCAAGCCAUUAGGUUGAGGGCACGUCUGCCUGGGCGUCACAUAUCGUUGCCUGAUGCCAGUUUCCUCGUGAUGGGUGACUGUGCAGGGCGAAUGAUGGCUUCCCGUGAGCAUUGUUGCCUCAUGGUUGGUUGAAAAUUGAGUCCUUGGUAGGGAGCGCCGUGAUAGAUGGUGGUUGAGUGACGAACGAGACCCAAUCAUGUGAGACCCCUACCGAAUUUGGCCUUCAUGACCCACAUGCGUCUUUGGAACGCUCAUGACGAGACCUCAGGUCAGGCGGGGCUACCCGCUGAGUUUAAGCAUAUCAAUAAGCGGAGGA
Molecule: unclassified non-coding RNA, 400 nt
Filed under: soil metagenome
Description: partial contains 5.8S ribosomal RNA, internal transcribed spacer 2, and large subunit ribosomal RNA
Rfam family: 5.8S ribosomal RNA (bases 1-122)
Source: RNAcentral